GCGGCUGUAGCUCAGCUGGAUAGAGCGUCUGACUACGAAUCAGAAGGUCGCAGGUUCAAGUCCUGCCAGCCGUACCA
Molecule: transfer RNA, 77 nt
Filed under: bacterium
Lineage: Bacteria
Description: tRNA-Arg
Rfam family: tRNA
About the family: Transfer RNA (tRNA) molecules are approximately 80 nucleotides in length. Their secondary structure includes four short double-helical elements and three loops (D, anti-codon, and T loops).
Source: RNAcentral